Molecule: non-coding RNA, 322 nt
Organism: Pelobates cultripes (western spadefoot toad)
Lineage: Eukaryota; Metazoa; Chordata; Amphibia; Anura; Pelobatidae
Source: the annotation of a GenBank genome assembly
GAUUUAUCCAAAAAUAUUAAAUUGAGAACAAUGUUCAAGGGCAGAAAAGGCCAACAUUUAUAAUUAAUAUGGAAGCGCCCAAUUACUGGAUAGAAAUAUAGCAAUGUGGAUUUAUACGAUUAAAUUUUUUUUUCAGACCUCAUAAACACAUAUUUGCUAAAUAUACUUGACGAAAAAACAGAAUGUUAAUAAUUACGAGAAGUAACACUUCUCCUUUAAGCUUACCUGGAGUUCACCAUUGUGGAUGGGCGUGCAAUAUUUGACAGUUACAGUUCCUCUUUUUUUCAGCUCAGUAAAGACCAUUGAGGCAUGUAGAAGUAUG